This 431-nucleotide ribosomal RNA is filed under the name Tistrella sp. LBBMA TRN8. Its description in RNAcentral is "bacterial SSU rRNA". It matches the Rfam family "Bacterial small subunit ribosomal RNA", at positions 16 to 481 of the family's 1533-position model. The record is from RNAcentral. Lineage: Bacteria; Pseudomonadati; Pseudomonadota; Alphaproteobacteria; Geminicoccales; Geminicoccaceae.
AUCCUGGCUCAGAACGAACGCUGGCGGCAUGCCUAACACAUGCAAGUCGAACGGGGUCGGAACUUCGGUUUCGACUUACGUGGCGCACGGGUGAGUAACACGUGGGAAUCUGCCCAUCUAUGGGGAAUAACUGCGGGAAACUGCAGCUAAUACCGCAUACGCCCUUCGGGGGAAAGGCUUCGGCCGUAGAUGGAUGAGCCCGCGUCCGAUUAGCUAGUUGGUGGGGUAACGGCCUACCAAGGCGACGAUCGGUAGCUGGUCUGAGAGGAUGAUCAGCCACACUGGGACUGAGACACGGCCCAGACUCCUACGGGAGGCAGCAGUGGGGAAUAUUGGACAAUGGGCGAAAGCCUGAUCCAGCAAUGCCGCGUGAGUGAUGAAGGUCUUCGGAUUGUAAAGCUCUUUCGACGGGGAAGAUAAUGACGUACCCG